Molecule: long non-coding RNA, 7237 nt
Organism: Aquila chrysaetos chrysaetos
Lineage: Eukaryota; Metazoa; Chordata; Aves; Accipitriformes; Accipitridae
Exons: 2
Source: RefSeq, a predicted model, not a curated record
CUAUCACUGGCAUUUGGUAGUAUUUUUUAUGCUAGUUACAGCACAAAUUACAGCUCAGAAGAAAAGGUUUGUCUGUUAUGCUAAUGACUUACAGCAUUUGCUUUUCUUCCAAAAGUGAUGCGUUACCUCUGUUCCGUACAGCUGUUCUGGUGUGCUCUUACACGAGCUAUCUUUCUUUUCCUUUUCUACAGCUACAGCUUUUGCUCCUAAAUCUGCAUAUUUUACCCCUGAUUGCAUAAUACUACAAAAAUGUCUUUCAGGUUCAAACUGUAGAAAGCUUCCUCUCUGUUUUUAGUACAUGCUUAUAUAAACCAGUGUGCUCCAGUAAAUGGAGCAGAAUGGCUUCAGGGCAGUGGAGUUGAGCCUGCUGGCGCAGGAUGUGCCCUUGUCCUUGACAAAUCAAGGCUGGUAAUUUUUUUUUUUUUUUUCCCCCUGGCGAGAACUGUUUUUUCCUUUGUAUUUGUAUUCUGAGACAUCCUUAUUCCUUUUAAGAUCUGAUAAAAAUGCUUCAAGUAGUUCUGGGCUUUCCCAGUUGUAACUUACCAAGAUCACUGUAAAUGUGAAGCUAUUUGAAUUAGACUGGACAAGCAAACAUUUCAUUCAGUGAUGCUGUUACUGAGGUUUUUCUGGCAGCAGUUUCAAUGGUGGCAUAGGGCAGAGUGCCACAACUCCAGUUACAACCUAAUAACUGAACACCUUUGUCUCUUCAGCGGUAGUGAAUGUCAUCUGAUUAACUGCAGCUACUUAUGUUUAUACCAUAUAUGGCAUCUUUAUACUCUAUGCAUGGCAGAGUUCACAGAAUUAUUGAUGUGAAUCUCCCUAUUUAUCAGAGUAGGGCAAUAUGCAUCAGGCGCUAAAUGCCCACAGAGAUCUGUGUGCUAGAGAUCGCUAUUAAAUUACCGCUUUAUAUUAAACUUAAUAUUUUUACUUAAACCUCUUGUAAUUUCAUAAAGGACAAAUUAUUACAAACUAAUUCUAUUACUGAAAUCUCAAAAAAUGGGAAAUAAAAUUUGCAGGUUACCAAGGGGAAAGAAACUAUUGCUGAGGCAAUAGGUGAGUAGAAUACAGAUUUCCAUACACUUUGUAUUUUAAGGGUCUAGCUUUGUGUACAGCAAAGCACAUGUGGAGUACUGAUCCAAAAAUACCCUGUGAAUGAGAGUUUUUUCGUCCAUUUGUACAGAGGUUGGAUGAAGACUACCUUCCAUAAUAGAGGUUUCAUAAUAAAGCUGUUUAUAGGUCUUCUAGCACAGUUAGGAGGAACGUCUGAGGUCCAUGUUCUGUGCUGAAAAUGCUGGAGAAAUUCACUGUUUGAUGUGUCUUUUGACCUGAUACCACACCUCAGCCUGUAGCAUUAUUUUGUUGGUCCACAACACUAUUAAUGAUCUCUAGAAUCAUUAUGCUAACUGAAUGCAGUCAGCUGCAUCAUAGUCAGUAGAAGCAAGCCUGCAUUUCUUGCAGACUGACACAUCCUGGCACAGCAGUGGAGCAAACACUAAUUGCGUUGGGGGGGGGGGGGGGGAAAGUGUGUGUUAUUUUUUGUUUUAAGCAGUCCUACAGACUACUACUGAUGGUUUUGCUUGAAAUGCACUUAAAUGAGAUCAUAAACAAGAUGACUGGCAGUUUCAGGUGGAUGUUCUUUGAGACCUUGAGUCCCCUUUUGUGGUGUUUUGCUUUAGUAAUCUUCAUUUACACCUCUGGACAUAAAACCUUUGUUUAUUCUGCCUUAUUCUUCACUAUGCUUUGUGUGUGAAGUGCUCUUCUAGAAUUAAUGGAAGAGGUUUUUCAGAUUUUCCCAUGAGGUGAUCUUUUGUAACAAUAAUAUGGGGGCCAAACUGACAAUUGCCAGGAUAUAUAAUAGUUUUGUCCUUAAUCUUUUCAGGUCACCUAAAUCUAACCUAGAGAAAAGAUUAUACUGAAAUUUUGUGAAAUUUAAUUUGAGGUGGAAAACAUUGUUUGCAGAAAGACUUUAAACUGAUAGUCACAAGAGCUGUGUCUAGUCUUUUUUAAAUUUCUCUUUGCUGAUGGGGUGCGUGUGGGUUUGAGGUGGUGAGGAGGGUGAUGUUCAGUAUCUAGUACAGGGAUUCCUGGCCACUUCUGUGGGCCUAUUUGCAGCCUUGGUAAGUAACUUUUGUGGGGGAUUUGGCUUUAGAUUAAAUAACUGACUGCUGUUUCAGAGGAAUAUUUGUCAAUUUUACUUGCGCGAAGUAGCCCACUUGCGUCCCUUUUACUAGUUAAACCAACUUUGAUAAGGUGGAGUGGGAUAAGAAUAUAUGCGUGCCCCAACAAGUGGACCCAUGCAUGUGUGUUUAAAAAUCAGGAUCUGUUCUUUGUGGCUGUAAUAAAGCAAGUAUAGUUUUGAGGCAGAGAUGCAAAAGCCAGUCUGAUAAAGUUGUCCAAAAGUUUUAAUGCUGUCUGGGGACUUUCCCCUAGUUGGGACUGUAAAACUUUGCUGCUUUCAAAUAGGGUUGUGUAAAAGCUCCAAGGUGCUGUCUCUUUGUACAGGAGUACGUUAGCUGUUUGGUUUAAAUCUAAAUAGUAGCGUAUUUUAUUGCUGAUCUUCCCAAGCUCUUUUGCCUGACUCCACAUUUUAAGUAUAUGAAAUUGUCCAUUUCUGUUUUAAUUACCUGCUUAGACCUCUGGUUCUACAUUAAAUGUAUUAGUCAUAAACUGAUGAACUAGAGCAAGCAAUACUCUCCUUUACUGCUGUUAACCAACAGCUCUCAGUGAAAGUGAAACCUUGAGCAUGGAUCUUCUUCUAUGUCUUUGAGUAUUCUGAAGCUUUAAAGUAAAGCAUUGAAAUGUCAAAAUCUAUAUGGAAAUGCUUUUGCUCUUGGCUGUCAACUGUUACUUGGGAGGGAGACUUCUUUCCUAGGAGAAUGUCUUUUUAUGUGUGUGUGUAUCUUUGAGCUCUUGUUGUGCUGACCUUCUGUCACUUGUUCUCAAAUGCCAAGUUACUGUAUUGGAUUGCGACUUGCCUGUAGUACAGGUGCUCUUCUGUCAUCAGGAACGUAUCUUAGGAAGCAGUUGUGAAUAUUGCAGAUGGCUCCAUGAGUGUAAAUCUAAAGUCAUGGUGGGAGAGUUAAUUAAAGAAUUAAAUGCUGUUAAUAUUUAGAUAAUGAGGAUGCACUAUUGUGAAUGUUACAGUCUAGAAACCCUGCUGAUUGUAUAUGAAAAUAAAGUAUACAUAGAGCAAAUUAUUUUGAUAAAGUUGGAAAUUCCCAAUGAAAUACAAACUGGUAAAUUAAUUUUUACUCAUGUUAGUUGGUGGCGUUCUUCUCUAAGGGAAGGAUCCUCAGACCAGUCUAGAUUUCAGUAUCAGUUUGCAUCUGUGUUUAGUCUAAGUAGUUAGUAGGCUUUCCAGCUGGAACGAGCUUGCGUAGAGAUGAAUUAGGACAGAAUUGUAGAUGUAAAUUUGAGACAGGAGUCUUCUAUAGGAUAAAUACCCAUCUUGUAAACAGUAUAAUAAGGUACCUUGAAAGAAGUUUUUGGAUUCCUAAGUUUAAAGAGUAGUUUUCUUAAUCAGCUGGACAAUCUGGGGCACUAUCACUAUUGGGAUUUGGGAAAGACUAUAUUCUUGCAGUAUGAUGGGUGUUAUUGGAAGUGUGUAUUCAGAAACAUUUGAAUUAUUUUCAACAAAACCAGGUUUAUUUUCUGAUGCUGAGCUUUAGGUAUAUCUAUUUAAAAGAGGAAUUCUUGUAGUAAAAGUUGCAGGAGGAACAAAGAUAAUGGUGUGACAGUAGUUAGGUAUGUGGGUUUGAGACUACGGAGAAUCCAUUCUGUCUUUAACAAAUUAACAUUGGCAUGUUUUUUGGCCUGAUGAGAGAUUGUCAUAGGAAGAUCUAAGUAAUGCAUUAAUGUGGUACCAUGGUAUAACUACCUCGAAGCUUUUAUAUCCUGUAAGGAUACUAUGAUGCAAGUACUACAAAGUAAUCUAGAAAAGUAAUUAGAUUAAAAUGGAAGAAUAACAGAUGUUGAAUUUGGUAUCCAUUACUGGAUGUGGGAUAGUAUUUAUGAAAUCACAUGGCAUUUUGCUCUUUCUUGAAAUAAGCAAAUGGGUAUAAACAAAACUAUCACCAAGAACUUUCAGGUUCCCAACUCUAGCUGCUUCGUUACCUGAGUAUGUAUUGAAAUGUUCUUAAAAUGGAAAAUAAUUAUCUCACUGAAUUUUGUCUCAAAUUGUACAAAAAUAAAUACUUUGCAAUUCAAUUUCAUAAUUUUCCUGAAACUGAUGAUUAAACAUAGUUUAAUUUAAAAAUAUAUACCAGUAAACCUACAUUAGUAUGUUACACUUUGCAUGUCCAAGCAAAUAUUUAAUCAAAACGUGGAUAUCAUAGUGCACUUACAUUUUUAGUGUACUUUAAGGUCAUUAAGUAGCUGUUGCAAUUUAUUUAUGCCAUUGCAGUAAGCUGUGUUUUGUUGAAAGUCUGAUGAUACUGUGUUCAUACAGGCCAUUAGAUUUUAAAUACAAAAUGCAUACAUUUUAGGAAUGUGUAUAGAACAGUUUGUGUGGUCCAAAUGUAUCAGGCAAAGGCAUAAGCUGUAUAGAGUUUGUUUUAAUUUACUUAAACUGUAAAAGUAAUGUUUUUGAUUCUUCGUGUACAGUUAAUGUUUUAGAUAAAAAGCUGAAUGAGGUGAUGGUGAUAAGAUGCCUUUAGAGGUUCAUGAGACCCUUUGAGGAGCAUUUUAAUAGCUUGCGUUUUAGCAAGGAAAUUUUAAAGAAAAAACUACAUGAAAAAUGAAAGACAAACUAAAAUUAAGAAAUUACUGUCUAAUUGGUGAAUUUAGUGUUUAAUACUUGGUACGUUUUUAGUUGUUUGAGGGUUUAAUGAAGUUUAUAUUUUGUGCUUUUUUUCUGAAUGAAAUGUGCAUAUACCACUUAACCUGAUAGUGAUUUGGCUUCAAUCAUGUAUCCUCCAAGUUAAUUGCUUAAUGGUCUGAGUUUGACUUACAGAGUGUGCAGGGCAUGGGUAGGGGGUAGAUUUGAUCCAAGGCUCGCUCUUUCUUUAUUUUUUUUUUUUUUGUUUAAAUCUGUAUUCUUUCUAGGAUACUUAUAUAUCCAAAGAGGGAAUAAAGGCAGAGCACAAAUCCUUAUUCCCUUCCAUGGAACUAUGUAUAAUAAGCCAGUAGAAUAUCAAAGCAGUUGCAUGUGAGUGCAGAGGAGAAUCGUUGCUCUUAAUCCAAGAUUGCUUGUGUCUAGAUGAAAUAACUGUUCGUUCAUUUUAUCUUGAGUGUUUGCUUGCUUCAGUGUUGGGCAACUCUCUCUGAUUUACUGGAGUCUUGCCUGCUCCUAUUAGUGGGUCUUCUGUGUUCAGUUUUCUGAAAUGAUGGCAACACUUGCCAAAAGAGAUCACAAAAAUAUAUGUAUAGAAUGACUAAAGAACUUAUUGUUGCCAUAUAAAGCUGUACAGCCUCUAAUUUGAAACCUAUUUUGUCUUGUGCAGAUGCAUGAAGGAUUGAGCAACACCUCUUCAGAGAAGUCAAGCAGUGCUUUUAAUUCUCAAAUGGUUGAGGCUUCCUGUAGACAUGUCUGAUUAGUGCAAAUUGUCAGCUACUGACAUGGUCGCUCUGUGUUGCUCCUGUGAUCCUUCACUAAGGCUGCUCUAAGAUGACACAUUCGCUGCCUAACUCCUUGUGAGUUAGUGCAGAACAUUCUGGCUGAACGGUGAAAAUCCAGUGUGGGAUUCUUCUGAGGUUGUUUCCACUGACAAAUAAAUACACUUCUAAGCUUAGUGGAAGCAGAAAUCGGGUAGCUCUUGCUAGAGUAUAGAGAGGUAAGAUUAGCUACUUCCCUUCAGUAGACUAUGACUGUCUACAUCCCAGUAAAAGCCUGUCUUUAGUACGAUUAUAUAGAAAUAUCGUUCAUAUCUAUUAUACCUCAUGCUUUGAAAUCUUAUCUUUUUGGAGGAAGAAAAAAUGCCUACAUGUUACUGUUCUGAUACAGAGAGGCAAAGACAUGAAGUCAGAUACUUUCCACUUUGCAAAUUUUAUUAUGCUUUUACUUGCUGUAGAAAGUUGUGUUUUCUCCAUUUAUUUAUUCAUCUGUUGAGCCUUGACAAGCAGAGGGCUUGGUAGUUUGUGGUUUCUCGAUUGGAGGGCUAUAGCCUGUAAUCUUUUAAAAUCUCUGCAUCAUAAAUCUAUGGCCAAUUCUGAAGGAUGAAGCUGGUGUGGGUGGGGGGUUGUAGCUCUUGAGUGUUCCUGGAGGCUACCACUAAUAUCUGAUGAAUCUUUCUUUGAUUACUUUCUGUACUAUCUCAUGCAAGUGUCCAUUAAUUAUAGCAUAAAUAGGACAUGCCUAAAAGAUGAGUCUGGUUUAUAGCAUUUUGUUUGAAGUCUUUUUUUAAAAAAAGGCUUGGCUAUUCAUAGUUGUUCAGAUCGACACAAGUUUUUUUCCAAGGUGUUUUCCUCAUAAUUUAAUGUGCCUGAAUCAAUAAACAAUUUCUCAAGUCUCUGAACUGCUUUUAAUAUUUAAAACUAAGUGUUCCUUUAUUUUUUUAGUCUUAGGAUUCUAUGCCUUAUUCUGAAAUGUUGAAGCAAUUUUAGUAUUUCAAUCACCUAUGUGAAAUUAGUCAUCAAGCAAAAGCCACAACUCCAAUAUAAAGCAAGAAAUUUGUCCGAAACCACUAUUAGAGCCACAUGUUUCUAGAAAGGCACUGUAGACUAAAUAUGAUACUAGAUUGGAUAGAGCAUGCAGACUACAUAUUAAGCGGUCAAAGAAAUGAGGCAAUUUACUUCAGUCAGUUAGUGAAGUUGUUUCCGUGGAUUACAUCAUUUUUACAUAAAGUCUAGAGCUGCUUGAGCAUGAUAUAAAAGAGCUUUGGGGGAGGACAUGCCUGUAACAUUUGGGGUAUAUACCUAUAAUGUUUGGGUCAUAACAGUAUAAAAAAUUACUUUUUUAAAUGAAGUGCUGCAUUCACUAAGAUUCAGAAAGAAUGUUCUGUAGGAAAACUCCCCCAAACUAGCAUGCUGGUCAUUGGUGGUGUUUUGAGCCAUCACUGCUAAAUGGCAUGCCUUUUAUUUACAGGGUAAUGGUACCUGCCAGCCUUGUGUGAGAAUCAAAGUACUACAUUACUAUGAGAACAGACAAUUUAAAAUUGGAAAAGUAAAUGUUGAACCUGUGAUCCUUGUCUUGAGCAAAGCCUGCAGUCUGAUUAAAAUUGCCAUUGCCUAAUAGAAAAAUUUUAUUAAAGUUCUGAAACAGACUGACAGUCUUGGCACUGCAGAUGUGGAUGGUGGCUGG